Molecule: ribosomal RNA, 253 nt
Filed under: uncultured bacterium
Lineage: Bacteria
Description: partial 16S ribosomal RNA
Rfam family: Bacterial small subunit ribosomal RNA
Source: RNAcentral
UACGUAGGCAGCAAGCGUUGUUCGGAGUUACUGGGCGUAAAGAGUGCGUAGGUGGUGCCCUAAGUCUGUUGUGAAAUCUCCCGGCUUAACUGGGAGGGUGCGGUGGAAACUGGGGUGCUUGAGUGUGGGAGGGGUAAGCGGAAUUCCUGGUGUAGCGGUGAAAUGCGUAGAUAUCAGGAGGAACACCGGUGGUGUAGACGGCUUACUGGACCACGACUGACACUGAGGCACGAAAGCGUGGGUAGCAAACAGG